This 241-nucleotide unclassified non-coding RNA is filed under the name air metagenome. Its description in RNAcentral is "partial contains small subunit ribosomal RNA, internal transcribed spacer 1, and 5.8S ribosomal RNA". The stretch from base 1 to 46 matches the Rfam family "Eukaryotic small subunit ribosomal RNA", at positions 1786 to 1831 of the family's 1831-position model. The record is from RNAcentral.
AAGUCGUAACAAGGUCUCCGUUGGUGAACCAGCGGAGGGAUCAUUAUCGAGUUUACAACUCCCAAACCCUAUGUGAACCUUACCAUUUGUUGCUUCGGCGGAACGCCCUGGGAACGCCUUGUGCAGACCCAGACUCAGGCGCCCGCCGGAGGCCCCCAAACUCUUGUUUUUACCAGUGGUAUUUUCUGAGUGAUACAAGCAAAAUAAAUUAAAACUUUCAACAACGGAUCUCUUGGUUCUG